GAGACAUUCCUAUGGAGCAGGACUUGCUUCAGUGGGUCAUUGGUGUUCACUGAGUCCGCCCCUUGAGUGUGUUACU
Molecule: microRNA precursor, 76 nt
Filed under: Myotis davidii
Lineage: Eukaryota; Metazoa; Chordata; Mammalia; Chiroptera; Vespertilionidae
Description: mir-9229 microRNA precursor family
Source: Rfam by way of RNAcentral